This 267-nucleotide long non-coding RNA is filed under the name Vigna radiata. Its description in RNAcentral is "long non-coding RNA (VRAD_LNC012663)". The record is from RNAcentral. Lineage: Eukaryota; Viridiplantae; Streptophyta; Magnoliopsida; Fabales; Fabaceae.
GCGGAUCGAACAAUGAUUGCUCAAAUUUUCAUAAAGCUUAAUUUUGCGAUAAGGUGAUUUGACAUUCAAUAUGUCGUAAAAAAAAAAGGGGGGGGGUUGGAAAAUGAAAAAAAAGAAGAAAAAGUGAUGUCUAGGGAAGAGGGGAUCACCCUGCCAUCCAACCAGAAGCAUGCAAAAGAAAAAUCAAACCCAUUGGGGGUCAUCCUUUUAGCCGAUCCUUUUCAUGCCCACUACUUCUUCCAGACAGAACCCCUUACCAAAAAANNN